RNAcentral lists this ribosomal RNA (252 nucleotides) under uncultured bacterium. Its description in RNAcentral is "partial 16S ribosomal RNA". It matches the Rfam family "Bacterial small subunit ribosomal RNA", at positions 524 to 776 of the family's 1533-position model. The record is from RNAcentral.
UACGGAGGGGGCGAGCGUUAUUCGGAAUUAUUGGGCGUAAAGGGCGCGUAGGCGGCUGUACAAGUCAAAGGUGAAAUCCCUCGGCUCAACUGAGGAACUGCCUUUGAAACUGUACGCUUGAGGCCGGGAGGGGGUAGCGGAAUUCCCAAUGUAGCGGUGAAAUGCGUAGAUAUUGGGAGGAACACCAGUGGCGAAGGCGGCUACCUGGACCGGUUCUGACGCUGAGGCGCGAAAGCGUGGGUAGCAAACAGG